This 253-nucleotide ribosomal RNA is filed under the name uncultured bacterium. RNAcentral describes it as "partial 16S ribosomal RNA". It matches the Rfam family "Bacterial small subunit ribosomal RNA", at positions 524 to 776 of the family's 1533-position model. The record is from RNAcentral.
UACGUAGGGACCAAGCGUUGUUCGGAUUUACUGGGCGUAAAGGGCGCGUAGGCGGCAAUUCAAGUCAGCUGUGAAAUCUCCGGGCUUAACUCGGAACGGUCAGCUGAUACUGCUUUGCUAGAGUGCAGAAGGGGCAAUCGGAAUUCUUGGUGUAGCGGUGAAAUGCGUAGAUAUCAGGAGGAACACCGGUGGCGAAGGCGGGACUCUGGGCCGAUACUGACGCUGAGGAGCGAAAGCGUGGGGAGCAAACAGG